Molecule: ribosomal RNA, 257 nt
Filed under: Candidatus Saccharimonadota bacterium
Lineage: Bacteria; Candidatus Saccharimonadota
Description: partial 23S ribosomal RNA
Rfam family: Bacterial large subunit ribosomal RNA
Source: RNAcentral
AUUUGAGAGGAUCUGCCCCUAGUACGAGAGGACCGGGGUGGACGAACCUCUGGUGUAUCGAUUGUGGCCACCUGCUGCAUUGUCGAGUAGCUAAGUUCGGACUAGAUAAGUGCUGAAAGCAUAUUAAGCACGAAACUAACCUCAAGAUUAGAUUUCCCUAUGAGGACACUGAAAGAUUAUCAGUUUGAUAGGUGCAAGGUGGAAGUGCAGUAAUGCAUGGAGCUGAAGCAUACUAAUAGUCCCAUUGCCUUUUUAUG